UUUGUUGGUGAGGUAGUGGCUCACCAAGGCGAUGACGGGUAGCCGGCCUGAGAGGGCGACCGGCCACACUGGGACUGAGACACGGCCCAGACUCCUACGGGAGGCAGCAGUGGGGAAUAUUGCACAAUGGGCGAAAGCCUGAUGCAGCGACGCCGCGUGGGGGAUGACGGCCUUCGGGUUGUAAACCUCUUUCAGCAAGGAAGAAGCGAAAGUGACGGUACUUGCAGAAGAAGCGCCGGCUAACUACGUGCCAGCAGCCGCGGUAAUACGUAGGGCGCAAGCGUUGUCCGGAAUUAUUGGGCGUAAAGAGCUUGUAGGUGGCUUGUCGCGUCUGCCGUGAAAACCCGAGGCUUAACCUUGGGCGUGCGGUGGGUACGGGCAGGCUAGAGUGCGGUAGGGGAGACUGGAAUUCCUGGUGUAGCGGUGAAAUGCGCAGAUAUCAGGAGGAACACCGAUGGCGAAGGCAGGUCUCUGGGCCGUUACUGACACUGAGAAGCGAAAGC
RNAcentral lists this ribosomal RNA (503 nucleotides) under Dermabacter hominis. RNAcentral describes it as "bacterial SSU rRNA". It matches the Rfam family "Bacterial small subunit ribosomal RNA", at positions 245 to 760 of the family's 1533-position model. The record is from RNAcentral. Lineage: Bacteria; Bacillati; Actinomycetota; Actinomycetes; Micrococcales; Dermabacteraceae.